GAUGAACGCUGGCGGCGUGCUUAACACAUGCAAGUCGAACGGUGAACACGGAGCUUGCUCUGUGGGAUCAGUGGCGAACGGGUGAGUAACACGUGAGCAACCUGCCCCUGACUCUGGGAUAAGCGCUGGAAACGGCGUCUAAUACUGGAUAUGUGACGUGACCGCAUGGUCUGCGUUUGGAAAGAUUUUUCGGUUGGGGAUGGGCUCGCGGCCUAUCAGCUUGUUGGUGAGGUAAUGGCUCACCAAGGCGUCGACGGGUAGCCGGCCUGAGGGGGUGACCGGCCACUCGGGGAGUGAGACGGGGCCGAGACCCACGGGGGGGGGAGGUGGGGGGAAUUGAGAAAAAGGGGCGAAAGCGGUGCAGAGACGCGGCGGGGGGGGGGAGGGGCCCUUGGGGGUGAAACCCUUUUUUCAGGGGGAAAGAGUGAAGGGGAGGUACCUGGAGAAAAAAGCCCGGCUAAACUAGGG
Molecule: ribosomal RNA, 468 nt
Filed under: uncultured bacterium
Lineage: Bacteria
Description: partial 16S ribosomal RNA
Rfam family: Bacterial small subunit ribosomal RNA
Source: RNAcentral